UAGGAACUUUGGAAUUAGGAGCGGGAGUAGGCAAUUCAGCAUUUUGAGCCUGCUCCACCAUUUAACAUGAUCAUAGCUGAUCUCAUCCUGGUCUCAACUCCACUUUACUAUCAGGCAAGGCAUCCCAGAAACCUGCGUUCCCAUGAUUGACAGGCUUGGAGAAUGGCAAAACAUGCAAAAAGACUUCAAGUGGUGGCUAUCUGCUGAAGUGGAGGAGAUGAACUUCCCAUGUUAUCUAUUUCUGUUAUGGCUUUUUCUUUGAAGUUUUCCUGACCCUUUACAGGAAUGACAUUCCAUGAGUUCCACACAGGACUUAGCCAGACAGAAGUGAAUUCACAUCCACGAUCUUUUUGUUUUUUGUCUGUUGUAGUCGUCUUAUUAAAAACAUGUUUUGGAACUAAA
Molecule: long non-coding RNA, 402 nt
Organism: Rhincodon typus (whale shark)
Lineage: Eukaryota; Metazoa; Chordata; Chondrichthyes; Orectolobiformes; Rhincodontidae
Exons: 2
Source: RefSeq, a predicted model, not a curated record